RNAcentral lists this ribosomal RNA (333 nucleotides) under Streptomyces lavendulae. RNAcentral describes it as "bacterial SSU rRNA". It matches the Rfam family "Bacterial small subunit ribosomal RNA", at positions 61 to 390 of the family's 1533-position model. The record is from RNAcentral. Lineage: Bacteria; Bacillati; Actinomycetota; Actinomycetes; Kitasatosporales; Streptomycetaceae.
GUCGAACGAUGAAGCCCUUCGGGGUGGAUUGGUGGCGAACGGGUGAGUAACACGUGGGCAAUCUGCCCUUCACUCUGGGACAAGCCCUGGAAACGGGGUCUAAUACCGGAUACCACUCCUGCCCGCAUGGGUAGGGGUUGAAAGCUCCGGCGGUGAAGGAUGAGCCCGCGGCCUAUUAUCUUGUUGGUGGGGUAAUGGCCCACCAAGGCUGACGACGGGUAGCCGGCCUGAGUAGGGCGACCUGGCCACACUUGGGACUGAGACACAGGCCCAGACUCCUAUGGGAGGCAGGCAUGUGGGGGAAUAUUGCACAAUGGGCCAAAGCCUGAUGCA